Long non-coding RNA from Gastrolobium bilobum, 1854 nucleotides. RefSeq lists it as uncharacterized. The record is from RefSeq and is a predicted model, not a curated record. NCBI's taxonomy places the organism in Eukaryota, Viridiplantae, Streptophyta, Magnoliopsida, Fabales, Fabaceae. The transcript is spliced from 9 exons.
AGAAGAAGGUUUUAAUGAAACCGAAACGGGUCUUUCGGAAUGGGAACCCACACUACAAGAAACACGGCGUUUAGCUACACUGGUUUAGCCACUUCAUAUCAGAUCCUUACGAAUGUGGCAAAAUCACAAGUGGAUUACUAUUUUUUUUUGCUGGGCAGAGUGAUUCGAGCUUCUAAUUUGCGUUUUGCGUGCUCUAAAUCAGUAAAGUAGAAAAACUGUUUUCCCCGUUUAUGUAGUCUAAGUGCGAAUCGCUUUAAGUUUUGUGCGUUCCAUAUCUAGCGCUAAAGAUAGCUUCAAAUCCUUCGUCUUCCUAUUAAGUUCUCCUUCGUCUUCCACGUUCUGUUCACUAUCGUCCUUCUUGCAUUCACCUUUCUCUAUUCAAGCUUCUUCACUUUCUUCUCCACCUUCUGAUUCGAAUUCAAGGGUUUUGAUAUUGAAGUUUAUUUUUUCAAACGACUUAACUUUUUAAGCUGAGAACUAAUAUGUGGGUUGUUCAUACCAUCAGACUCCCAAAGCAGAGUAUUGUGGCGGAUAUCCUUGAUGAUCUAAAAACAAAGGUAGCUUUGUGUGAUUUUUGCUUUAUGGCUUUAUUUGAUUUUUUUUCCAUGUUUGCAUGUUUUGUGCUGUUGUUGUAGGGUUAUGUAAAAACAAAGUUGAAUUUCACCAUGCAGAGUAUUAUGUGCCUUGUUAGAAUUUAGAAAACUAUGACUUUAACAGCUUCACUGUGUGAUCUGGAGCACUAUUUCUAGAUAAAAAGAAGAAGAAGAAGCUGGUUUAGAUGAGGAUCCUGAAAUCAAGCCAUUGAUGGUUAUAACAAACAAUCAUGCAAUAGAGAACUUCGUAGAUUAAGUGCCAUUAGACCAGAAUUAAUUACCUCAUCUAAAGAUUCAAGGAGGAAGGAUACUUAUUACGGAUUUUAGCACUACUUGGAGUUUCUGUAGCAUCCUCCAAUGCAGAUGCAACACACUUCUCUGCCAGUGCUGCUUUCGGGAAGAGACUUAAAAUUGACUGAAUGCAGAACUAGUUAAUCUUUGCACAGAGUAGGAUCAUGGCGAUGGCGUGGAUAGCGUUGACGGCGUUGGUGCUGCACACGGUGUUCAGCUGGUUGCUCAUGCUGAAGCUAGGUUGGGGACUGAUGGGUGCUGCGGUGGUGCUCAACUCGUCGUGGUGGUUCAUAGUGGUGGCUGAGCUUGUUUAUAUAUUGAGUGGGACAUAUGGUGAAGCUUGGACUGGAUUUUUCUUCCAAGCCUUUCAGAAUCUUUGGGGUUUCGUUCGUCUCUUACUUGCUUCUGCUGUUAUACUAUGCCUUAAAGUCUGUUCGUUGGAUAUCCAAAGAAUGCAGAAGUUUCAGUCGAUGCUUUGUCUAUAUGAUUCUUGCCUCUGCAACAUUUUGCUUCAAUUUGCUCCUUUGACUCCAAGUUAUCAUCUCAUUCUUCUCCAACCUGUUAUAAGACUCUGUAGAGAUCCAAGGUGGGGACGAUGUUAUGAAGUUAUAGUGAAGAUCAUAAAGUAGUUCAAGCUAUGACUGAGAUCAUUUCAGGAUUGUAAGGUGAAAUCCCUGCAAACUCACGAAAGGGUGUUCCGUUUGUUGGUGGAAAGGGAUUCUCUUGACAGGACCACCGGGAACUGGAAAAACUAUGCUAGCCAAGGACUGUAGUUUAGUAAUGUUCAUAUCAGAAAAGUAAAAAAAAAGUAAGUGUAUACAUGUUAGGAAAUCUGGUUUAGCAAUUUAACUUAUGGAUUGUGGCAUAUAUGAUUAAUGUAUGGGUUUAAGUCACUACAGUUUUUUGUCAUCUCAAAUUUUUGUAUAUGAAACUUUUGUCGUACAUUAUUUUAAAAUUCCAUACUUGUCCA